CCUACGGGGGGCAGCAGUGGGGAAUAUUGCACAAUGGGGGAAACCCUGAUGCAGCCAUGCCGCGUGUGUGAAGAAGGCCUUCGGGUUGUAAAGCACUUUCAGCGAGGAGGCGUUACUCGCAGAAGAAGCACCGGCUAACUCCGUGCCAGCAGCCGCGGUAAUACGGAGGGUGCAAGCGUUAAUCGGAAUUACUGGGCGUAAAGCGCACGCAGGCGGUUGGAUAAGUUAGAUGUGAAAGCCCCGGGCUCAACCUGGGAAUUGCAUUUAAAACUGUCCAGCUAGAGUCUUGUAGAGGGGGGUAGAAUUCCAGGUGUAGCGGUGAAAUGCGUAGAGAUCUGGAGGAAUACCGGUGGCGAAGGCGGCCCCCUGGACAAGCUGACGCUCAGGUGCGAAAGCGUGGGGAGCAAACAGGAUUAGAUACCCGUGUAGUC
This 431-nucleotide ribosomal RNA is filed under the name uncultured bacterium. RNAcentral describes it as "partial 16S ribosomal RNA". It matches the Rfam family "Bacterial small subunit ribosomal RNA", at positions 338 to 795 of the family's 1533-position model. The record is from RNAcentral.